AUUGAACGCUGGCGGCAUGCCUUACACAUGCAAGUCGAACGGCAGCGCGGGGCAACCUGGCGGCGAGUGGCGAACGGGUGAGUAAUAUAUCGGAACGUACCCUGGAGUGGGGGAUAACGUAGCGAAAGUUACGCUAAUACCGCAUACGAUCUAAGGAUGAAAGUGGGGGAUGCGCAAGCACCUCAUGCUCCUGGAGCGGCCGAUAUCUGAUUAGCUAGUUGGUGGGGUAAAGGCCUACCAAGGCAUCGAUCAGUAGCUGGUCUGAGAGGACGACCAGCCACACUGGAACUGAGACACGGUCCAGACUCCUACGGGAGGCAGCAGUGGGGAAUUUUGGACAAUGGGCGAAAGCCUGAUCCAGCAAUGCCGCGUGAGUGAAGAAGGCCUUCGGGUUGUAAAGCUCUUUUGUCAGGGAAGAAACGGUGAGGGCUAAUAUCCUUUGCUAAUGACGGUACCUGAAGAAUAAGCACCGGCUAACUACGUGCCAGCAGCCGCGGUAAUACGUAGGGUGCAAGCGUUAAUCGGAAUUACUGGGCGUAAAGCGUGCGCAGGCGGCUUUGUAAGUCUGUCGUGAAAUCCCCGGGCUCAACCUGGGAAUUGCGAUGGAGACUGCAAGGCUAGAAUCUGGCAGAGGGGGGUAGAAUUCCACGUGUAGCAGUGAAAUGCGUAGGGAUGUGGAGGAACACCGAUGGCGAAGGCAGCCCCCUGGGUCAAGAUUGACGCUCAUGCACGAAAGCGUGGGGAGCAAACAGGAUUAGAUACCCUGGUAGUCCACGCCCUAAACGAUGUCUACUAGUUGUCGGGUUUUAAUUAACUUGGUAACGCAGCUAACGCGUGAAGUAGACCGCCUGGGGAGUACGGUCGCAAGAUUAAAACUCAAAGGAAUUGACGGGGACCCGCACAAGCGGUGGAUGAUGUGGAUUAAUUCGAUGCAACGCGAAAACCUUACCUACCCUUGACAUGUACGGAAGCCACGAGAGAUCGAGGUGUGCUCGAAAGAGAACCGUAACACAGGUGCUGCAUGGCUGUCGUCAGCUCGUGUCGUGAGAUGUUGGGUUAAGUCCCGCAACGAGCGCAACCCUUGUCAUUAGUUGCUACGAAAGAGCACUCUAAUGAGACUGCCGGUGACAAACCGGAGGAAGGUGGGGAUGACGUCAAGUCCUCAUGGCCCUUAUGGGUAGGGCUUCACACGUCAUACAAUGGUACAUACAGAGGGCCGCCAACCCGCGAGGGGGAGCUAAUCCCAGAAAGUGUAUCGUAGUCCGGAUUGUAGUCUGCAACUCGACUACAUGAAGUUGGAAUCGCUAGUAAUCGCGGAUCAGCAUGUCGCGGUGAAUACGUUCCCGGGUCU
This 1351-nucleotide ribosomal RNA is filed under the name uncultured bacterium. Its description in RNAcentral is "bacterial SSU rRNA". It matches the Rfam family "Bacterial small subunit ribosomal RNA", at positions 28 to 1381 of the family's 1533-position model. The record is from RNAcentral.